This 76-nucleotide transfer RNA is filed under the name bacterium. RNAcentral describes it as "tRNA-Thr". It matches the Rfam family "tRNA". From Rfam's summary of the family: Transfer RNA (tRNA) molecules are approximately 80 nucleotides in length. Their secondary structure includes four short double-helical elements and three loops (D, anti-codon, and T loops). The record is from RNAcentral. RNAcentral also lists the same sequence under 2 other names.
GCCGGGUUAGCUCAGUUGGUAGAGCAACCGCCUUGUAAGCGGUAGGUCGCGAGUUCGAGUCCCGCACCCGGCACCA